RNAcentral lists this transfer RNA (72 nucleotides) under Diaphorina citri (Asian citrus psyllid). It matches the Rfam family "tRNA". Rfam says of the family: Transfer RNA (tRNA) molecules are approximately 80 nucleotides in length. Their secondary structure includes four short double-helical elements and three loops (D, anti-codon, and T loops). The record is from Rfam by way of RNAcentral. Lineage: Eukaryota; Metazoa; Arthropoda; Insecta; Hemiptera; Psyllidae.
GCUCCCAUGGCGUAGUGGUCACUGCGCUCGCCUUGCACGCGGGAGACCCGGGUUCGAUUCCCGGCGGGGGGU